RNA transcript from Juglans regia (Persian walnut), 2600 nucleotides. It is a transcript of the gene named probable protein arginine N-methyltransferase 3, with no coding region annotated. The record is from RefSeq and is a predicted model, not a curated record. NCBI's taxonomy places the organism in Eukaryota, Viridiplantae, Streptophyta, Magnoliopsida, Fagales, Juglandaceae. The transcript is spliced from 2 exons.
AUACAUACUCAUUGGAAGGAAUGUCUCCAAAAAUAUGUAAAUUAACAUGUCUUCGAACAUUGUCUAAUCUAAUUGUGGGAGAAGGCAGUUGUUCUGGGAUAAAGGAGCUAGGGCCUUUGUCAAAUCUUCAAGGUACUCUUUGUAUUUCAGGAUUGGAGAAUGUGACUGAACCAUGGGAUGCAAGGGAGGCGAAUUUGAUUGGUAAACCCAAUCUUAGUGGGUUGUCGUUGGAAUGGAGUGAAGACAUUGAUGAAUCACGAGAAUUAGAGGUACUCAAUAUGCUACAACCUCACAACAAUUUGAAAGAGCUCACUAUCGAGUGCUACGGGGGUAUAGAAUUUCCAACUUGGUUAAGAUGUCCUUUAUUUCCUGAUAUGGUGAUCUUGAUAAUUGAAAAUUGUGAAAAGUGCACAUCAUUGCCAGCAAUCGGACAACUGCCAUCACUCAAAGUCCUUUUGAUUGGAGGCAUGGCAAGUGUGAAGAAGGUUGGUCCUGAGUUUUGUGGGGAUGGCUCCUCCCAACCUUUUAGAUCCUUGGAGACUUUGCAUUUCAAAGAUAUGAAGGAAUGGGAGAACUGGAUUCCUUGCGAAGAAUUUCCAAAAUUACGUGAGCUCUUACUUGGAAGUUGUCCCAGGCUACUGGAGAAGUUACCAAACCACCUUCCUUUGCUAAACAAAGUUAUGAUAUAUGGUUGUGGACAGUUGGUUGUUUCAAUUUCAAGCUUUCCAGAGCUUUGUGAAUUAACAAUUGAGAGAUGGAAAGGGAUGAUGGUGUAUGGAGGAAAGGUUGACUUCAACUCACUCUAUUUCGAGUCUCUUUCUACAAUUUCAGAAUUCACCGGUCGAAUAGAAGGAUUUAAUAAUGAUGGGCUGAAAACUGUAGAAAACUUAACCAUCUCAGAUUGUGAGGAGCUGACAUGUUUGUGGUCAAAUGAUGUGGGAUCCCUACCACCUCUCCCAUGUCUUCGUGUUUUGAAGAUUGAUGGCUGUCCAAAACUAGUUUCUUUGGUAGCAAAUGAAGUAGAAGAGCAGCUACAGCCGGGGAUUCCAUCCACACUCAGAGAGAUAGAGAUAUAUAAUUGCAAAGCCCUGGAAUCUUUACCAAAGACAAUGAUGUACCACUACAGGUGUCUGGAGUAUAUUUAUCUUAAUGGAUGUGAUAUUUUGACUUGCUUUGCAAAAGGCCAACUACCUCCAACUCUAAAGCAACUUAAAAUAGACAAUUGCAAGAAUAUGCGGAUUUUGUUAGAGGAUAAUGAUACCAAUAGUUGUAGCAGCAGCACAUCUCUUCUUGAGAACUUGGACAUUUGGGGAUGUCCAUCCCUUGAAUCCUUAACAUCAAGCGGAGUGUUACCAGCAACACUUAGACAAUUGCUUGUUUACAAUUGUCCAAAGCUACAAUCAAUAGCAAAGGGGUUGCAUCAUUGCUUGUUUCUUGAAUGCAUUGUCAUCUUGAAUUGUGAAAACCUUAAAUCCUUACCCACAGGCAUACAAAAUCUCAGUUAUCUAGAUCGGAUUGACAUUAGUAAUUGCCCAACUCUUGAUUUCUUCACAGACGGAGAGUUGCUCCCUGCCAACCUAAGAGUGCUUAAGAUUUCCAACAAUGAGAAAAUGCAAGCUGUGCCCAACUGUAUACACAACUUAGUCUCUCUUCAAGAAUUGGAAAUAUUGAAAUGUCCAGUUGUAUCAUUUCCCAAAGAAGGUUUUCCCACCAACCUAACAUCACUCAAAAUCUCUCAUCUCAACAUCACCCAGGGCUUGUUUGAGUGGGGAUUGCACAAGCUUACUUCUCUUGAACUACUUCAAAUUUGUAGUGGAUGUUCGCACCUGGUGUCCUUUCCAAAUAUGAAGUUGCCUGCCACUCUAAGAAGGCUCAACAUCUCACACUUUCUGAAUCUAGAAUACCUGUCCUCUGAGGGCUUUCGAAACCUCGUCUCACUUGAAGAACUUGAAAUAGGACAGUGUGAAAAGCUCACAUCCUUUCCAGAGAAUGGCUUGCCUCCCUCACUCUUGAAACUUUGUAUUGUCAAGUGCGAGAAGUUCGUGUCAUUUCCAAAGAAUGGUCUGCCUCCCUCACUCUUGGAACUUUAUAUCUUUAAAUGUCCUCUGCUGGAAGAAUGCUGCAAGAAAGAUCAAGGAAGUGAGUGGUUAAAGAUAGCCCACAUCCCUUACAUUCAAUUUGAUAAUGAUUGCCUGUAGAAUCGAGACAUGGUUUCUUUCUUCCGAUUUGAUUUAAAACUUUCUUGGAUGCAACCCAUGUAUGAAGAAAUAAAUCAAAGGCCAAUUUAUUGCUAAGUCAAUUCUUCUUUGUUUUGGCUCGUCUUUGAUUCCCAUCUGGAGAGGCUCAGUCUAAGUCAAUUCUUCUCUGUAUUGGCUCAUCUUUGAUCUACACCUGGAGAGGCUCAGUGAUGAUAGGUGUUUGCAUAAUGCCCAAGUGACCGAGAAGACCUUUGAACAUUGAGUUUUUCAAUGCUAAUUGGCAUGCUGAUGAUUGCUACAUAUUUAGUGAAUCGUUGCAACCUCCCAGAAAAAGACAUUUGACUUGGCAACAAUGAAAUGGGAUGAUGUGGAUUUCACUGCGAGGCUGCGAUGGAACCAUAU